GAUGAACGCUAGCUACAGGCUUAACACAUGCAAGUCGAGGGGUCUGCUUCGGCAGACGACCGGCGCACGGGUGAGUAACGCGUAUCCAACCUGCCCUUCAUAUUGGGAUAGCCUCUCGAAAGGGAGAUUAAUACCGAAUAACAUGGUAGUUUUGCAUGAGAUUACCAUGAAAGCUCCGGCGAUGAAGGAUGGGGAUGCGUUCCAUUAGGUAGUAGGCGGGGUAACGGCCCACCUAGCCGACGAUGGAUAGGGGUUCUGAGAGGAAGGUCCCCCACACUGGAACUGAGACACGGUCCAGACUCCUACGGGAGGCAGCAGUGAGGAAUAUUGGUCAAUGGCCGAGAGGCUGAACCAGCCAUGCCGCGUGAAGGUCACGGCCCUAUGGGUCUUAAACUUCUUUGUUAGGGAGCAAUAAGUUCUACGUGUAGGAUGAUGAGAGUACCUAACGAAUAAGCAUCGGCUAACUCCGUGCCAGCAGCCGCGGU
RNAcentral lists this ribosomal RNA (485 nucleotides) under uncultured bacterium. Its description in RNAcentral is "bacterial SSU rRNA". It matches the Rfam family "Bacterial small subunit ribosomal RNA", at positions 28 to 521 of the family's 1533-position model. The record is from RNAcentral.